CUUGAAUUUUGCAAUCAACCGAAGGUGUUAUACCUCUGAUAAUCUGAAGAGUGGCAGACUUCCUAAAGAUGUUUCUUACAGAUUCAUUCCACCAACUAAAAGUGGCAGAUUUCUUUUAAGUUCAUGAGACAGCAAUGGCUUGAAAUCUAAAACUCAAUUUGUUAUUUUUAGGUUUCAUUUCCGAUGGGAGUUUUGGAGGUCUUUCAGCUGGUGCCAUUGCUGGAAUAGUUAUCACAUGUUUAGUAGUACUUUCUGCAGUAGCUGGUGGAGGCUAUUAUAUUUAUAAAAAAAAAAUCGACAACAAAGCUCCGCCACAAUCUGAUAAUAAAGAAGUAGAAGAAUGUGUGUAUGAGAACAUGUCAACAUAUGAGAACCCAUCAACACAUGAGAACACAUCAAUAUAUGCGAACAUAUAAACUGAACGACCUACUUUCCCUUAAAAGCAGGCCACUUGGAGGACAAAGAACACCAAAACAAGAUGACCCAGCCAUGACAUGUUAUUGCCUUAUUGAUUUGCAUGGCAAAUGUGUGUGCAAACAUAUUCUAUUCACUCAUCCAGUACAGAUUAACCAAAGCAUUUCUGCUGCAUUUCCUGUUAAAUGCAAGUCCAAUAUUUAGCAGGUGGUUUUAUCAGAGCUUUUUUGAUGAAAACUUUAUGAGAUUGAAAGGGUUAAAAUACAAUACAAAACAUGUAGGGCUGCUGAAUUGAGUGAGAAAGGUUUUAAACUUUGGGCUCUCUUACACUUAAUGUAAUGUUAAUAUAUGAUUAUGCUUUUAUUGAUUGAAAAUAGCUAUGCUGGCUUUUUGCACAAAGACAGUUAAGUAAAAAAACAUUUUUUUGUUCUGCUAUUACUAAACAGUGGUGAAUGUGUUUACAUUUAAUUCUGGUGUUUGAUAAUUGAAGCAAUGAAAUUACUAUUUGUUAUGUGUUUUGUGUACUUUCUACAUUUCUACAGUGUAUAUCUAAUGCUUUUAUUCUCCUGUUCUCCUAUUGUGUAACAAUUGUAAACACUGCAAUGGAAACAUUGCGGGUAGGGAUAAGACAUUAUGCAAAAGAUACAUCAAAAU
Long non-coding RNA from Sebastes umbrosus (honeycomb rockfish), 1068 nucleotides. RefSeq lists it as uncharacterized. The record is from RefSeq and is a predicted model, not a curated record. The transcript is spliced from 4 exons. NCBI's taxonomy places the organism in Eukaryota, Metazoa, Chordata, Actinopteri, Perciformes, Sebastidae.